GGAUGCAUUGCCUGAUGGCCAAAUCAGGAGCAGGAUCCCUUCUGUGACACCGAAAUCCAAAUUCAGCGUUGACAGGGGUUGUUCUGAAUGUAACAGGAUCCCACGGCAGAUGUAAACCAGACUCCAGGCAUUUGCCGCGUGUUUCAGCGAGGAGGUUUCCUUCCAGGCCCUGAAAAGAUUUUUUUUGAGGAAUCUCUUCACUGAUGUGAGCUCUCUGUCAGAUGAAGUUGUGGCAUUUCAUCUUCAGAGCAAUCCAGUCAUCAAAAAGAUAUGUCCUCUCCCAAAGUGGAGUUUGUCAGCCUCAAAAACUGAUGGAACAUGCAUUCAUCCCACCUUCUCCAUGGAUGGAGAGAUACCUGUGUGUGGAGAGGAGGUUGUCCUCAAGCCAGAGUUGAUAUGACCACCACCUGAUGUCAA
Molecule: long non-coding RNA, 417 nt
Organism: Poecile atricapillus (Black-capped chickadee)
Lineage: Eukaryota; Metazoa; Chordata; Aves; Passeriformes; Paridae
Exons: 3
Source: RefSeq, a predicted model, not a curated record